Prinia subflava (tawny-flanked prinia) is the source of this 10294-nucleotide long non-coding RNA. RefSeq lists it as uncharacterized. The transcript is spliced from 4 exons. The record is from RefSeq and is a predicted model, not a curated record. Lineage: Eukaryota; Metazoa; Chordata; Aves; Passeriformes; Cisticolidae.
CUUCCAGCAGGGACCCCCAGGCAGUGAACUGGGCAAUGCUUUGUUAGAUAUGGUGCUUGUCCUGCUCUCUCUCAUCUGAUUGCUUUCAUCUAUGUAGCUAACAGGAGCCAGGAACUGGUUAGUGGAAUUCCUGCCCCAUGGUAGCACUCAGGGAGCAGCAUAAUUGGUGGGCUGCAACCUUGAAAGGCAUUUAAUACAGAAACAGCAGUGACUGAGACAUGGAGGGGAGAGCACUGGGUCGAAGUGGAAUGCUGCAAAGGUCAGGACUGCUGAGGGAUGUGUUGGUCUGAGCUGUAUGUUUCCUGGUAAACCCUUGAUAUCAGGCUCAGAGAUGGAUGGUCAUCUACUUAUUUCCCUGUGCAGAAGGUAGAGGAGCAGGUAGAUGAAGUGUGUACUGUGUUCUCACCGCCUCUUAGACUUGUUGCCUUGGAAGGGCUGACAAACCAUAUUCUCCUGGCCAGUCACCAGCUGAUACAAGAAAUAUAUGUAAAAAGCUUUUAAAAUAGUGAUACACAUUCAUAUAUUGAGUAUGUAUUUCUAACCUUGCUUUGCACAAGGUUCAUGUUUCAGUUGCUUAUAUUCCCUGUUUCAGCUCAAGCUCUCCAAUAGAUAUAUGCAUAAUAAUAUAUAUAUGCAGUCAGGAAGAUUUUUACUUGAAGUAUGAAGAAAUAGUUAAACCUGAGCAGGUGAAGUAAGAGUUGGAACCCAAACCAGGCUUCACAUUACCAAAUUCCCCAAGGCUCCAUUGUUCUAGUAUUUGAGGUUUAUAGAAAAUAACUGCCUGGUUUCUCUCCUAUGCCUGUAAAUGAUUAUAUGCCUCACAUUUCUAACCCCUCCUAAUACCGCCAGUAACAGCAAUACAGCCUCCAUGUGGUAACCCAGUUGUUCACAUCCGUAACUUCUUUAAUCUUUGUCCAAAUUCCCAUUUCUGCCAAAGAAUGCAUCAGGCACCAAGAUAAGACUCAGGGAAAUGUAACCCUUGCCCCAAAUAACUUGUCAUGAACUGUAAUGUUUUAUCACAAGAACUGUACUUUGCACAGUUGUGUAAAAGAGCAGCCAUCUGCCUGCCAAACCUGCAGCUCUCCCACGCUCCGUGGCGCUGACACCAGGAUUCCCAGGUUUUGCCUGUUGGAUUAGCUGUUGCCAGCUGGUUCUUUCCAAAGCCACGGCUGUUGGGUAGCAGCACCAAGGCAGCACUGUUGGGUUUGUGCCCUGCACAGAGCCAUGCCUGGUACAAAGAGGCAGAGAAGGCUGCAAGGUUCCCUCAGUGCAGGCUGCUGGGGGCAUACAGCAGUAGAGCAAGGAGGAAGAACAGCAGAUCCAGUCAAAAGAUUCGUGCUUAAAUAAUUCAGUCUAAUGCUGAUUAUAACCUCCCUUUUAGUGUAUGUGUGCAGGUUAUGGUCAUAUGAUCACCCCCUGAGAAACCUUUGUUAUUUUCAAAUUUCUCAUGACUCUAGUCUGCUUUAAUCUUCUUUUUCAUAAGAACUCUGUAAUUCUGUGGCACGCCACCAAGAAAAAGGCUUUAACUUUAUCAUGAAAGGGUUGUUCAAAAUCCCAAGUAGAAACCUGUGUAUUACUACAUGUGAGAGAAGAUUGAAUUUAUUAAUAAACCUAAACAUAUUCCAGGCAUCUCAAGUAAAACACGCUGUAAGCCAGCUCAGCAAAUACUAGUGAGGCUGAACCACCAAUUUGCAAAUAGACCAGCUAUAUCAAGAAAGAUGACGUUGGCCUUCCACUGAAUAGUUCAGUGUGGGUAUAAGUGGAUAAAGCAGGGACUGCAAUAUGACAGAUCAGUGAGACAGCAGCAACAAGGCCUUGCUCUAAGGGAGAGUGGUCAAUAGUAGUGGCAUAUUUUGUAAGCUUGCCCCUCAGCUCUGUCCAGGAGAUACCAACCUCUCUUGCCAGCUCCAUGGGACUAAGGUAGGCUUUCUUUCUCCUUUUUUUUUUUUUCUCCCUAAUUUUUAGCUGGUUUUUUCCCCUAUCAUAAGUUCUGGAAACAGAUCAGCUUUCCAUCUUCCUCUCAAAAAUCUGUAGAAAAGCAAGACAGCAAGUAAGUAAAUGGCAAUGAAAUGUACUGCCCAUGAAAGAUUUGGCAUAAUUCAGUUCGAGGAAAAGGAGGAAAGUUAAUGGUUGGCAGCAACCAGUAAUCACUCCAGCAUUUCAAAGUUUUUUCCAGAUUAACUGAAGACAUUUUUUGGUUUUGUUGAAGUGAAAGACAAUAUUUCUAUUGGCUGCAGUGGGGGUAGUUUUAAUCCCUUAAGUUUUGAACCGUCCUGUUUUUCAAUCUAAAAUAAUAAAGUAUGAUAUUCUUUUAAAACUGGGCCAGUUAUCUGAUGUGUGAAUACAUCAUUCAUUUCGAUACUUACCUGAUUAUAUCCUCAUUCUUCUGCUGAGGUUAGUUUAAAAGAAAAGGCACCUCCCAAGCUAUCCUCCCUUCAAAUGUCAUCUGAGGCUUUUUCACUUUUUAAGCUCUGUGGGAAGUACAGCUUCAGCCCUGUUAUAAACAAACACAGCAAGAACCUGCCUUCCUCACGCAACGGUGUCUUGAGGUGAACAUAGCAAUGACUCACAGUUGCCUCUGGCACCCUGCUUUGGCUGGGCAGCUGCAAUGCCAGAACGUGGGAGCAUCAGUUGCAUGGCAGCACAAGGGCAAUGCAUGCUAAAACAUGGACAGCCGUGCAUGUUGGGGAGCAAGGCACAUGCCUGGACAUGAACUGCAGAGGGUGGCCAGGACAUCCACACAGGACUGAAGAUACAACACAGGACUUACUGAACCUCCUUGCUCUCUGCCUUGGUGGCUGGAGGCUGGGUGGGAUAUGCCAGGCACUCAAGAGGGCAUCUACAUGUGAAAACCUGCAUCUUUCUUGAAAGUUCCCCUGGAGCUGGUGUGUUGAGAAGUCAUGGGUGAAAGAGUUAACCUACAAAGAAUGUACUUGCUGUACUUUCCUUCAUGUAUUCUCCUCUGAAACCUUUAAAUGGAUUAUGGUUUCCACUUCUUUUUUAACAAAUGGGCUAUUUGUGCUGCUUUUUUUUCUUUGGCAUAGCAUAUUGGACCUCUUGGCAGCCUGAAGGUCAAGGUUCUCAUGUUGCAAUUGCCACGGCUUUACAGGCAGCUCCCAGCCCAGUGCUUCUGGUUGCACAAAUGCAUCCGUCAUGUUUUGUCUUCUGGAAAACUGGAGGAAUUGUCUACCUUCAAGUGGACAGAUUAACAACCAAAACUCAAGGAAAAAUAUGUCCCUCGGGUGGACACAUUUGCUUUGAAGAAAGGAGCAUGUAGGAAUUGAAUACAGUGGUCUGUCCUGGCAUAGAUCAGAGGGAAUUUCAAGCUUUCAACUUUGUAUUUCCCUAUGAUACCUUCAGGUAUUCUUUGUAGUCUGUACUGUGCAAACAUAUCCUACAGUCAGUCAGUCAGCCUGAGGACAUUGGUCUAACUGUGCCCAGUGAGAGUAAAAAAUGUGUAUUUUCUGGGGUUGAGCUGAAAUAUGCUGCUUUCUGAAAUAUCAGCUUUUAGGGUUGAGUGGAGAACUUUCAAUGAGUACCACAGUAAAUGCAGCUGGACAUAGCCGUCUCACACAGCCUGGGGACACAAGACAUGAAAAUGACAUUUUUCACAGCUUGCUUAAUCUGCAUUUUUUAGUUUACUGUCUUGGAUUACUGAGUCAUAGAACUCAGCUGCAGUUGAGUUGAACUUUGAGAAUAAUUGCAUAAAAUACUACAUUUUUAAUUUCCUAUUCAGAGCUAUACUGGGAGUGAGUUCAGUAAACAAAAGAGAGUGUAGAGGAUCAGUGCUAAUAAAAAUCCUGCUUAGAAUCUCAUUAAGAAAUCUCAUCUGUUCCUGUGUACUGAAUGAAGUAGGGAUCUCUUGAAAGAAGCACGAUGCAGUUGCAUCAUUUACAAAGUGUAUAAUAAUAUGCACACAACAGGAUGUCACAUUAAAGGCAAGCUUAAUUCUGUCAUUUCAUGACAUUAAAGGGAUUGACUUUGCAGUAAGAAUUUUCUUUCAGUACAGGGCCAUUUGUGCUUGGGUGGUGUGUGUGAAUAACCUCACAGUUUCACAAAAUUGGGAAGGUGAAAAUGGAGGCCUCCUAUGUAUACAAUACUCAUGUUGUCAUUUAUGCAUUCCUCAGCAAUUAGAGGAUGCUUUUGAUUCUUAACACAUCCUCAGCCCUUUAAACUGCACUCAGAGACAGGCUGCCCUUCCCAGGGAGUCAGUGCCAAAAGGAUGCUAAGACAUCUGUGUUCUCAUUGCCUUUAACGUUAUAUGCUGAUAAAUGAAACUUGCUUAUUCCCAGCUCCAGAAGAAGCUGAGAUGAACUGAACACAGAACUGUCUGGUAUUUGCUUUUCAUAAUUUCUUUGUGAUAAAUGUGUAUCUUGUGCUGAUCCAUUGGCUCUGUGUGCUGAUCCUUGCCUUGGAGCCUUUUCAAGAGCUUAAGGCUACCCCAGGCAGAGCAGCUGCAGCGUUGCUGUGUGGGGAUGGCACAUUUGUCAGUCCCUGCUUGGUUCAUAAACCUUCACAGACUGGAGGAGCACAGCCCCCUCAGCACUUCCAACCCAUAUUUGUUGUGUCCUUGGAAUCUGAGGAGUUUUUGAUAUUGUGCAACCCUCAUCUUCCCAAGUGGGAAAUUCUUCAUCAAAUGCAUAGUUACCAAAGAGCUUCCCAAGGUACCAGUUGUAGUCUUGUCAACCUAGGAAACAGCAUGUUUCCCACCUGGUCAUUUUUCUCAGCAGUGACUGAACCUGCUGCGGUGUGUUUUAUGAUGUGAGAGUUCAUGCCUGUUAAUGGUUUUUCCCUGGGCCCCCGGCCCAGGUUUGGGUCUGUCCUCCCUUUUCCCCAGACCCCCAGAACUUUCUACAUCCUCUCCCCAGAGACAUGUGCAUCAACGAAAGGGGUUUUGCCCCCUCAGGGGAAUUCCAGAGGAAGGCAUCGAAUGAUAGGAGAGAAACAAAGGAAGUUCCCCCCCUAGAAGAACACUGGCUCACCUGAAUGUCCCUCUGCCCAAAUUGUCUCCUCCCUCUCCCCUCAUUGGUGGUUCCUUACCCCUUACUCCCACUUCUCCCCCGAAUAAAAGGGACAGGAGCCCUCCUGACCAGGGUCUGUGGGGGCAGUUUGGCUGGUUCAAAGCCUGUGCUGGGGCUCAAAUAAACUUUGGACUAAGGAAAUCCCCCGCAGUCCGACUCCUUCUCCUUGGUCUCGUCCAGUUUCUCAGCCAGUAAACCCCAGGGAGAGCGGUCUCCUUUUCCCAGCUCCCUCAGGGUUUGCCUCUACAGCUGCUGUUCUGGGUCUGGACAAGUCAGGACUUGGGCCAACACGUGGCAUGGGUGUAACAGAUCCCAGCCCCUGAGCCCCUGAGGGAUCUCUGCAGGUACCGGCAGCUCCCUGUGGGCAUCAGCUGGGACUCGGCAGCCCAAAGGAGUUCUGUUCCGUGUUGUGGACCAGCAACCCUGCAUGAACCCCUCCAUAAAGAAGGUGUAUUUUAUGUCUUUUCUUGUUCUCAGUAAUUCUUGUUCUCAGGCAACUAUUUUUGUCAACAUUUUCCAAUGGUGGCCACUCUUAGUGAUACCAAGAGUGAAAAAUUUUCAGUUGGAAGUCUUGCAAAGUCAAAUGAAGAACUUCAGGUGAGAACUACUGGACAUUUUUCCCUGUAAACACUGAUGCCAGAUUUGUAUAUGGAACCAAUCAGAAAACUCCACAAUAUUCAUUUCUGUCCUGAUUUCAUCAUUCCUUAAGAAACAGAACAUAAUUUUGCCCACUGUAAAAUAAAGACAAUAGCAGCUAUUCAGUAGCAUAUUGUACUUUUGAAGUAAGCAAGUUUCUGCAUUUCAGAUUUCUGCGUUUGUCAAGCUGUCCCAUUUGCACACUGACUUCUUGAAGACCUACUGAGCUGCUCAGUAGCAGAAUCCAAAAUAGAAUUAAUCCUGAGAGAGGAAUCAGAAGAUAGAAAUUGUCCUAGUUGAUGGGGAAAUAUUUGAUUGACUGCACUAAGGAUGUAGUUUAUUUUAAAUAUUCUCAUCCUUUUGAAAUACUAAGAGAGCUAAAAGUAGAUACUGCAACACAAUUCCUAUUUGUGGAGAUGGUACCAAAAGUAAUUGUAAUUGCCAAAAAUACACAAAAAUAUUUAAUUGCUUUUCAGCAAGCAUUGACCAAAUAGAGGAGCUCCCCUGGAUCAAGCUGUACAUUAAUUAGUGACCCAUUGCUAGGGUCUUUGUUUCUGAAAGUUUAACACUACUAUUUUAUAACAAACCAAUACAAUGCUGCGUUUUAGAAAAUACUGACCACAUUUUCUGCUCCUUCUGUCAACCUGAACAAUUCCAUCUGAACUAAAUAGUUGUUCUCAUGAUCCCCUAAAAUCUCUGCUCUCUGCUUAGGUCUUAGGCUUCUUGGAGCUGAAAACAAGUCAAGCUUAUGGAUGUGUUUCUUUGUGGUGUUAUUUGGCCAUACUAUGGUGUUAUAUAAUCAGUAUGGAUGUUUUCCAUGGUGGCACCUAUUAUUCUAAGUGACUUUAAUUCCUCAUUUGGAUUGACAGAUCAAGUUUGCCAUCAACUCUGCCAUUUUCCCACCAAAACUUACAAAGGAAGCAUACCCAAACAGAAAAAGGGAUAAUUACGGCAAAAAGUAUUUUCUCUUCUGGCUGGAGCACCAAGCCCCACGCCACAGCAUGUCAUAAGCAGGAUGGAAGUGCUGGAGCAGCAGGCAGGAGCAGGAGCCCUCAGGCAGCAUUCCCCAGGCAGCCACAAAAAUUGCAGAGAUGGGCUUGUGGCAACCUAGGAUGAGUAUGCAAAAUGGUGUGUAGGACAUUCUGGGAGGUGCCCCCAGCCCAGCUGUCCUAGAAUUUCACUCACAAGGUAAGUCACAAGCAUUUAUUGUACAACUGUGUGUUCAGAGUCUCAGGGUUGCUGUUCCCUGAGAUUCUCCUCAAAGUUGCUGUUCCCCGAGGUAAUAAGGUUUUCAGGCUUCUCUAGCCUUAAAGGUUCCACGCCGGAGCCAGAGACGACAAGCUGAGUCCACCAGUCUGCGUUUUCAAGAUUGUUUAUUCUUAAUUAUCUAUCAGUUCUUUCCCAGCUUUGCAAGACACCCCAGCAGAGCAGGACACGCGGCGGACUGGGUGGAUAAGAGAGCCCCGCACCUUAUGUACGGUACCCUUGACCCAACCACCAUCCAAAACGUACUUUUUAUUUACAGUAUUUAUCAAUAUCUACUACCUAUGCUAACAUGUCAUUUCUACUCUAAAUCAAUGCUUAAAAUCCAACUCAGCAAAAGAUGGGGGACGAGAGCAAGAACAAGUGGGACAGGGGCCACUCCCCAAUUCCUCCAUCUUGUCUCUUCAGCCCUAUAUACUAAAAAUCCUAGCUUCUACAUUUACAUUCUAUGAUAAACUAAAUACUACUUAUUUUAAAUUCUUUUGGCUUGUGAUUCUUCCUGCAUGUGAGUAUUCACUCCCAUGGACAGGGAUCAGAGGCAGUGUCCUCCUAGGCGCUGUGUGAGGCUGGCUGACCCCCUUGUACAGAUCCCAAAUCCCCCUAUCUGGUCUCCAAACCCUUCAGGGUGGCCAGAGGGAUAUCCUGGACUCCAACACAGAGUGGCUUUUCACAAUGAAGUUGCAUAAAAUUCACUUUGUGUGUUGAGAAACCAAGUCAGUGUGGAGCACCCCUACAUCUACACACUAGCCCAUAGUAGGGAUUUUGCAGGCUAGCACCAGGUUUGGAGAAAGAGGCAUGUGGAAACUCAGGCUGUCCUCAAAAGAGGGCAUUGCAAGAAAAAGAAGUUUCAAGGUCCUUUACUAGUUAAUGGUUGUUUUUUCUGUUUUGCAAUACAGAACAACUAAAUAUUCAGAUGUUGUUGGAACCAAUAUAUCUAGCGCGAUUUCUCUUUCAUCUUCUUUCUUUCAUCACCUUCUUUCUUUAUCUCUGACUAGAAAAAUAUACAUUAAUUCCUGGAAAAGCUUGCAAAAAUCAAAAAGGUAAGUCAACUAAUUUCACCUUUAUGUAAGAGGGCAACUUGUUGGUACUUGCUGUCAAUGUGCAUUGAUUUUAUCGGGUGGGAUCAUGGUGAUGACACCAGCAUUGAGGUGCCUUGCUCUAACAACUCACACAGGGGCUGUUGAGCAGAUGGAGGGAGCUCAAAAAAGUGGUUGAAAUGUAGCAUCUUCCUCUGUGAAAAUACUCACAAAUAUAUUUUUGUUUUCUCACUCUUCUCCUUGGGAAGAUUUUUUGAUUUUUCAGCCUAGCAUUCAGAUCGAAGGCUCACUGAUCACAGUGUCCAUCCAUCUGUCCCACUCUUAAAGCUUUUAAACCAACCACCGCUCUUUACCAUCAUGAAGUGGCACAGAGCUCAAAAGAAUUAGAGUAGGAUUCAUUUCACCUAAGUUUAGACUUCUGUAGUACCAAUGUCUUCAUCUGAGAUAAUCCCUUCGGUUGUCCUUACAGUUAGUGGAGACCAGCUGACAUGUUUAACCAUGAUUCAAAUGACCUGAUUUAGAUGUCUAUUUUGGGAUAGGAUGAAUCAUGGACUAAGACUGCCUUUCUCUUUUUUCUGCUUUAGUUAGGAUGACCAUCUGAGAUGAAUAAGAGUGGGAUUUUCUACACGACUUCUGAAGACUGUCUCUGCAUAAGAAAGGAAAUUUAAUGAGGCAAAGCUGAAGUGUGUGCUCACCAGCUCGCUCACCGUGGGUAUCAGGCUGAGACAGAACCUGCCCCUUGUCAGGGAGCCCGUCACCUAUAUGGUGUUUAGAGGUUAUGAGAAGAAACAUGCUGAAGAAGUACAGCUGGGGUGAGGAGAAAGUCAUAAAGAGCUUUAGGAGAGGAUAUUGUGUUGGACAGGCAAGAAAAUACAACAUGAGUUCAAAAUAAACCAGGCUUCACCAGGUUUACUGUUUGUGGAAUUAAAUGAUUAUUCCCAGGAAGUCACCACAACUCUCUGUGCUGUGACUGCUCAGAUAAAACAACUUCUAAAGCAGCCCUUUCAGUAUUUAGAGGUCAAGCCCUACCUCUGAUCAGUUUAUGAUGCAAAUUAAGAAUCUUCCAUUUCCAACCUCAUAAUUUUCAAAUGUGCUUUUGAUGCUUUUUCCAAGAAGCAUUCUCUCUUCUCUGAAAAAGUCAUUGUAAACACUUCAUCGCCACCUAAUUAUUUUCUCUGAAAGUCCUCAGGCCCACUAAACUCUUGAUGAUGGUUGCUGUACUGAAACAGCUUCCUCAGAUUGAUUGUUUAUGCUUUCUGUUACUUUCUACCUCAUGGCUCCCAGUCCAAAUGCUUCUGUUCAGGCCUUUUCUUUGUUGAGCACAAGAAAAGUCAAUACACCUGCCUGUAUCUAUGAAAUUUAUGGUAAUGCAAGCAAAUGAAUGUGAAUACAUUACUGUACUAGUUCUGUCCUAAUGUGUGAAUGUUAGUGGUGUUCCUUAUAAACUUAAGGGUCUGGGAGUUGUUAGGACAAUGUCUCUGAAAUACUUCCAGCCCUGCAAAGUUGCCUGGUUAACUCAGUUGUUUGUGGAAGGAGACUGAGAAGCAGGAUUGAGUUGUACCUGCAGAAGGGGCAGCCACAGACAAAAACAGAAGGAGGAAACAAAAUUGAAGAAUGUGCCACAUCAUUUGUUGAUCCCUGUGAUACUAUUGAAUGAAAAGAGUCACCAUCACCUUAAUAACCUUGGUAGCAAUUUGUGCUUUGUCACGGUGACUCUCAGCCUUUUGUAAGGCAGGGCGUUAUUCAAGACUGGCCUCAGUGAAAAUGCAGGUGCUCCCACAAGCAUAUUCUUGUCUUAGGAUCACUUGUUAGUGCAUAUUUAUUUAGUAAUUCACUCUCUGGGAACGACUCCAUUCAUGUUCACUUUUUCAUUAUCAGCAAGGUGUAACUCAUUACCCUGUUCCAGAAGGCACACACAAGAUAGCAAGUGAGCUAGUUGCUACCUUAAAGCCAUGGAGUGGGUCAGUGAGUCAUCAGCAGAACAGUUUGAAUGUCAGGCAGGUUUUGUUUUGUGUUUCAUUCCAGCAAAAACAAAAGAAUGCAGGCUGGGAGAGAAACUUCAAAACAAAGGAACUGUAGCAAUCACUCCCAAGCUGAUCAUGACCAGAAUUUGGUCCAGAGUCCAAUGCUGAAUGAUGAGCAGUGAAUGUCAGAUCCUCAUUUCAUCCUCAAAAGCUUUGUUCUCCAUAAAACUCUGGCAAGGUUGCUCUCUGUUGUCCAUGAUACCUCUGUUUGGGGAUCCUCAUCUUCCUCAUGGCACAGUGGAAGGAAGCAUUGCUCAUGUGACACCCUUGUUGCCAUCCUCCUGCAGAGGGAGCAGAGGCCUUCUGGUCAUGA